This 73-nucleotide transfer RNA is filed under the name Ricasolia amplissima. RNAcentral's name for it is "tRNA-Cys". It matches the Rfam family "tRNA". Rfam says of the family: Transfer RNA (tRNA) molecules are approximately 80 nucleotides in length. Lineage: Eukaryota; Fungi; Ascomycota; Lecanoromycetes; Peltigerales; Lobariaceae. The record is from RNAcentral.
UGGGAUAUGUCGUAAAUGGUUUACGCUUUGAUUGCAGAUCAAAUGAAAGGGGUUCGAUUCCCCCUUAUCCCUA